CCACCCUUGAAAGAGUGCGUAAUAGCUCACUGGUCAAGUGAUUUUGCGCCGACAAUGUAGCGGGGCUCAAGUACACCGCCGAAGCCGCGGCACUCCAACAAUACAUCCGCAUCGUUCUACGGGACGGUGUGCAGUGGUUGGGGUGGGUAGGGGAGCGUCGUAUGGCCAUGGAAGCAGCAGGGUGACCUAGUUGUGGAGGCCAUGCGAGUGAGAAUGCAGGCAUGAGUAGCGAAAGACGAGUGAGAAACUCGUCCGCCGAAUGACCAAGGGUUCCUGGGCCAGGUUAAUCCGCCCAGGGUGAGUCGGGACCUAAGGCGAGGCCGACAGGCGUAGUCGAUGGACAACGGGUUGAUAUUCCCGUACCCGUGUAUCCGCGCCCAUGAUGAAUCAGUUGUGCUAAGUGUCCUGAACUUCCGAGAAGACCUUCGGGUCUCGAGUGGAGGGAUGCACAUGACCCUGGCUGGUAGUAGUCAAGCGAUGGGGUGACGCAGGAAGGUAGCUGGGCCAGUCAGUGGUUGUACUGGUGUAAGCCUGUAGGGCGUGGUGUAGGCAAAUCCGCACCGCAUGAAGCCUGAGAGGUGAUGCGUAGCCGAUUGAGGCGAAUUCAGUGAUCCUAUGCUGCCGAGAAAAGCCUCUAGUGAGUUGGUACACGGCCCGUACCCCAAACCGACACAGGUGGUCAGGUAGAGAAUACUAAGGCGAUCGAGAGAACUGUGGUUAAGGAACUCGGCAAAAUGCCCCCGUAACUUCGGGAGAAGGGGGACCACAACCGGUGACGGCCCUUGCGGUCUGAGCUGGGGGUGGUCGCAGAGACCAGUGAGAAGCGACUGUUUACUAAAAACACAGGUCCGUGCGAAGUCGUAAGACGAUGUAUACGGACUGACGCCUGCCCGGUGCCGGAAGGUUAAGAGGACCGGUUAGCGCCCUUCGGGGUGCGAAGCUGAGAAUUUAAGCCCCGGUAAACGGCGGUGGUAACUAUAACCAUCCUAAGGUAGCGAAAUUCCUUGUCGGGUAAGUUCCGACCUGCACGAAUGGCGUAACGACUUCUCAGCUGUCUCAACCACAGACUCGGCGAAAUUGCAUUACGAGUAAAGAUGCUCGUUACGCGCGGCAGGACGAAAAGACCCCGGGACCUUCACUAUAGCUUGGUAUUGGUGUUCGGUACGGUUUGUGUAGGAUAGGUGGGAGACUGUGAAGCGGGCACGCCAGUGUUUGUGGAGUCAUCGUUGAAAUACCACUCUGAUCGUAUUGGACUUCUAACCUCGGACCAUGAUCUGGUUCAGGGACAGUGCCUGGUGGGUAGUUUAACUGGGGCGGUUGCCUCCUAAAAUGUAACGGAGGCGCCCAAAGGUUCCCUCAGCCUGGUUGGCAAUCAGGUGUCGAGUGCAAGUGCACAAGGGAGCUUGACUGUGAGAGCGACAGCUCGAGCAGGGACGAAAGUCGGGACUAGUGAUCCGGCACCGGCAAGUGGAAGCGGUGUCGCUCAACGGAUAAAAGGUACCCCGGGGAUAACAGGCUGAUCUUCCCCAAGAGUCCAUAUCGACGGGAUGGUUUGGCACCUCGAUGUCGGCUCGUCGCAUCCUGGGGCUGGAGUAGGUCCCAAGGGUUGGGCUGUUCGCCCAUUAAAGCGGCACGCGAGCUGGGUUUAGAACGUCGUGAGACAGUUCGGUCUCUAUCCGCCGCGCGCGUUAAGAAACUUGAGGAAGGCUGUCCCUAGUACGAGAGGACCGGGACGGACGAACCUCUGGUGUGCCAGUUGUCCUGCCAAGGGCACUGCUGGUUAGCUACGUUCGGAAGGGAUAACCGCUGAAAGCAUCUAAGCGGGAAGCCUGUUCCAAGAUGAGGUUUCUCUCCCCCUUCGAGGGGUUAAGGCCCCCCACAGACCAUGGGGUUGAUAGGCCAGAACUGGAAGCUCGGUAACGGGUGUAGGUGACUGGUACUAAUCGGCCGAGGACUUACCAACAA
RNAcentral lists this ribosomal RNA (1965 nucleotides) under Nocardia colli. RNAcentral's name for it is "Nocardia sp. CICC 11023 partial 23S ribosomal RNA". It matches the Rfam family "Bacterial large subunit ribosomal RNA", at positions 1116 to 2925 of the family's 2925-position model. Lineage: Bacteria; Bacillati; Actinomycetota; Actinomycetes; Mycobacteriales; Nocardiaceae. The record is from RNAcentral.